Molecule: long non-coding RNA, 204 nt
Filed under: Homo sapiens (human)
Lineage: Eukaryota; Metazoa; Chordata; Mammalia; Primates; Hominidae
Description: LHRI_LNC1823.1
Source: RNAcentral
CUUGGGUAGGGGAAUGUUAACUGGCUUGCCCAAGGUUUUGCCCAUCCCAAAAGCAUCAGAACCAGAAUUCGAACUGGGGCUACUGAGUCCAUGGCCUUGACCCAGGCUCAGGGCAUGAAUAAGAAGAGUUCACAACCGCAGAACUGCAGCUGGGCUUUUUGGGGGAAUGUGAACGGCCCAGAGAAAGGAUCAUUUGGUGGAAGC